AGUGGGGGUGGAGAGAAGGGCAUUCAAGACUAGCACUCCAACACACUCCAGCUUAUCCCAGGGUUUGUUACUUAUAUUUUAAGCUUUCCCAAGUUGCUGUUCCAUCGUGUUUCCCUUUCUCUAGCACCUUUUGAUGGGCUUCAAUCGUGGUCUUGGUCUGGCUGCCUUGUUUCCUCAUUUUUCAUCAAGCUGUUUGCUGCAGCAGAGACUUUGGGCUGCUGUGCCUCCACUGCAGUUAGGAGCAGCACUAACAGUGGUGCAUGACAUUCAAGACAAACAUGAUAUUCUAAAGCGUUCCAACAUUUCAGUUCCCCGGGAAGUGGAUGUGGCUCUUCAACCCCCAGCAAGCGCACGUCAUCUGGAGACAAUAACGACAGCCACCUGGCAAGACCAUCAUCACAUGUAGGUACCCUACAAAUUUGGACCAUUUCUCUGUGCCUGUUUCGGUUUCUCUUCCACUUUGGUGAAAGAUGUCUUCUUGCAAUGCUUGCUGCUUCAGUGAGACGCAGU
This 510-nucleotide long non-coding RNA is filed under the name Calidris pugnax (ruff). RNAcentral's name for it is "lncRNA (ENSCPUG00000005297.1)". The record is from RNAcentral. Lineage: Eukaryota; Metazoa; Chordata; Aves; Charadriiformes; Scolopacidae.